ACUCCUACGGGAGGCAGCAGUGGGGAAUUGUUCGCAAUGGGCGCAAGCCUGACGACGCAACGCCGCGUGGAGGAUGAAGGUCUUCGGGUUGUAAACCGCUUUUGUCGGGGAAGAAAUCCUCCGGGCUAAUACCCUGGGGGGAUGACGGUACCCGAAGAAUAAGCACCGGCUAACUACGUGCCAGCAGCCGCGGUAGU
RNAcentral lists this ribosomal RNA (197 nucleotides) under uncultured Bacillota bacterium. RNAcentral's name for it is "uncultured Firmicutes bacterium partial 16S ribosomal RNA". It matches the Rfam family "Bacterial small subunit ribosomal RNA", at positions 335 to 524 of the family's 1533-position model. The record is from RNAcentral. Lineage: Bacteria; Bacillati; Bacillota.